RNAcentral lists this ribosomal RNA (478 nucleotides) under Shigella flexneri. RNAcentral's name for it is "bacterial SSU rRNA". It matches the Rfam family "Bacterial small subunit ribosomal RNA", at positions 125 to 598 of the family's 1533-position model. Lineage: Bacteria; Pseudomonadati; Pseudomonadota; Gammaproteobacteria; Enterobacterales; Enterobacteriaceae. The record is from RNAcentral.
ACUGCCUGAUGGAGGGGGAUAACUACUGGAAACGGUAGCUAAUACCGCAUAACGUCGCAAGACCAAAGAGGGGGACCUUCGGGCCUCUUGCCAUCGGAUGUGCCCAGAUGGGAUUAGCUAGUAGGUGGGGUAAAGGCUCACCUAGGCGACGAUCCCUAGCUGGUCUGAGAGGAUGACCAGCCACACUGGAACUGAGACACGGUCCAGACUCCUACGGGAGGCAGCAGUGGGGAAUAUUGCACAAUGGGCGCAAGCCUGAUGCAGCCAUGCCGCGUGUAUGAAGAAGGCCUUCGGGUUGUAAAGUACUUUCAGCGGGGAGGAAGGGAGUAAAGUUAAUACCUUUGCUCAUUGACGUUACCCGCAGAAGAAGCACCGGCUAACUCCGUGCCAGCAGCCGCGGUAAUACGGAGGGUGCAAGCGUUAAUCGGAAUUACUGGGCGUAAAGCGCACGCAGGCGGUUUGUUAAGUCAGAUGUGAA